GUCUAUGGCCAUGCACCUCAAUCUGAUCUCAUCUGAUUUCGGAAGCUAAGCAGGGUAGGGACUGGUUAGCACUUAGACAGGAGACUACCUAGGAAGACUAGGUGCUGUAGGUG
Molecule: ribosomal RNA, 113 nt
Filed under: Pteropus alecto (black flying fox)
Lineage: Eukaryota; Metazoa; Chordata; Mammalia; Chiroptera; Pteropodidae
Source: RNAcentral